ACAUAGGUGACAUAUCCAAGUGCUUGUCCUUCAUCAGAUGUUUCUAUAAGCAGCAGAGCAGAAAGCUAUAAUAUGUAUUCAUUCGUAAUGUGUCAUUCUGAAUGUAUUAAGGACAACUGACUACACAUGUCACAGUUGCUGUGGCUAGACCAGUGAGGCGCUCCUGCUCAAAAGCUGAGAGCUCUGCUGACCCUGUUUCUGUCCAGUCAAAACACACCUGUCUUCAAAGAACCAUAUGUUUCACAGGAAGAGUUCAUUCCUCUCCAUACCCAGAAGAAGGCUGAUACCAUGUGUUUCUCUAAACUUGGAUGCAAGGAAGAAGAGUCCAAAGUAUCACCAGGAAAGAAUCUGCAAGGAAUAACCGAGAAGAAAAACUAACAUCUUGCAUCACAGAGAGUUGGCUUCCCCUUCAAACUCUUCCACCAACUUGGAGGGCACCAUCAUGGAAAAAUACAGGAUCCACAUUGCUGUGUCUGCUCAACACUGUUAAAUAUGACAAGAAUAGAAGUGGUUACUGGUACCAGAAGAAAACUGAAAUUCUACAAAUAUACAUCAGGAUCCCACUCUGUCCCACUAUCAUUUUCAGUAAGCACUAUAUUAUGAUACUUUCUCUGUAACAAUAUUAAAUGCACAUGGACUAGCUAUAAUAGAACUCAUCAGCAUCCCAGAUUAGAUUUUAUAUGCCUAAGUCUUUCAUUUGAGUUAGUGUCAAUAUUCAUUGAGUGGUUUCUGCUGUACUGAGCAUCUACCUACCUUUAGUUUCACCAGACCACCUUAGUUCUUCCCAUUCCUUCACAUAUUUUCUUAGUUCUUCCCAUUCCUUCACAUAUUUUCUUAGUUCUUCCCAUUCCUUCACAUAUUUUCUUAGUUCUUCCCAUUCCUUCACAUAUGUCAAGCCCUUAGUUCUUCCCAUUCCUUCACAUAUUUUCCCGUUCCUGGCUUUUAGUCUUUUAUCUGUCUUCACUUCCAGUCACCAUGAGUAUACACUGUCUCCCUGAGCUCUUUUCCCAGAGACUCUCCACUACUAUUCCAAAGGGCCUAAACUUCUAUUCUGUCUGUCAAACAUGGUUAAUACAUGAGUAUUAACGUCCAGUUUUUUAUAUAGUAAUUGAAAGGUUGCCUUCUGUGCACAAGACUGUCCUGCUAGCCUGGAACCCAACUGGAUACAGCAUUUGCCAGACACCUGCUGGGAGCAACAGUGCAGUGAGACAGUGAACUCUGGCACCCAACAGGCAUUUGCCAGGGCCUGAUUUCUGUGAUUCAGGGAUGUACCUUUUAAAGACUCUUCAUCCAACCACAAAUCUUCCCUUCACUCAUCUGCUUGCUUGGAUUCAGGAGAUAGCACUCGGCACAAAGAGACACAUUCCCUAAUAACAUUUUAUUCUUUUCUGUCAACCACCCUCUCCUUAAUUCUCUGCAUGUGGUGAGCUUGGUUAAAGUUUCCUGCUUAUCCACCCUGAGCCCAUAUCCUCACAUCUUUGUUUCUCUUUUUCACCAUUAUCACUCCAAAGAGAUUUUGUUUGUAAUCUUGGUCAGCUCUACAGACUUGUCCUUUGUAAUGGUCUGUAUUAGUAUCUUUUCCUUUCAAUAGCAUCCUGUAGGGUUUUCAAAACUUUUUGAUUUUUAGUUUUUCUUUUGUGACUGUC
Long non-coding RNA from Callithrix jacchus (white-tufted-ear marmoset), 1646 nucleotides. Lineage: Eukaryota; Metazoa; Chordata; Mammalia; Primates; Cebidae. The record is from Ensembl.